RNAcentral lists this ribosomal RNA (468 nucleotides) under uncultured bacterium. RNAcentral describes it as "partial 16S ribosomal RNA". It matches the Rfam family "Bacterial small subunit ribosomal RNA", at positions 28 to 507 of the family's 1533-position model. The record is from RNAcentral.
GACGAACGCUGGCGGCGUGCUUAACACAUGCAAGUCGAACGGAAAGGCCCUGCUUUUGUGGGGUGCUCGAGUGGCGAACGGGUGAGUAACACGUGAGUAACCUGCCCCUGACUUUGGGAUAACUUCAGGAAACUGGGGUUAAUACCGGAUAGGAGCUCCUGCUGCAUGGUGGGGGUUGGAAAGUUUCGGCGGUUGGGGAUGGACUCGCGGCUUAUCAGCUUGUUGGUGGGGUAGUGGCUUACCAAGGCUUUGACGGGUAGCCGGCCUGAGAGGGUGACCGGCCACAUUGGGACUGAGAUACGGCCCAGACUCCUACGGGAGGCAGCAGUGGGGAAUAUUGCACAAUGGGCGGAGGCCUGAUGCAGCAACGCCGCGUGCGGAAUGACGGCCUUCGGUUUGUAAACCGUUUUCGCCUGUGACGAAGCGUGAGUGACGGUAAUGGGUAAAGAAGCACCGGCUAACUACGUG